This 459-nucleotide ribosomal RNA is filed under the name uncultured bacterium. RNAcentral's name for it is "partial 16S ribosomal RNA". It matches the Rfam family "Bacterial small subunit ribosomal RNA", at positions 338 to 795 of the family's 1533-position model. The record is from RNAcentral.
CCUACGGGUGGCAGCAGUGAGGAAUAUUGGUCAAUGGGCGCGAGCCUGAACCAGCCAAGUCGCGUGAGGGAAGACGGACCUAUGGAUUGUAAACCUCUUUUGUCGGGGAGCAAAAGACGCAACGUGUGGCGUUCCGAGAGUACCCGAAGAAUAAGCAUCGGCUAACUCCGUGCCAGCAGCCGCGGUAAUACGGAGGAUGCGAGCGUUAUCCGGAUUUAUUGGGUUUAAAGGGUGCGCAGGCGGAAGAUCAAGUCAGCGGUAAAAUUGAGGGGCUCAACCUCUUCGAGCCGUUGAAACUGGUUGUCUUGAGUGAGCGAGAAGUAGGCGGAAUGCGUGGUGUAGCGGUGAAAUGCAUAGAUAUCACGCAGAACUCCGAUUGCGAAGGCAGCAUACCGGCGCUCAACUGACGCUCAUGCACGAAAGUGUGGGUAUCGAACAGGAUUAGAUACCCUUGUAGUC